AAAGUUUUAUUUUGGCUUGAAAUUUUAAUAUAUCAUUAUUUAAUAUGUAUCUUUUUUUUUAAAAAAUUUUAAAUUUCAGUUUUUUAUAUUAAAAAGUUAUUAAAGUAAGCUUUAGUAAUUGAUUAAAGAUUUAAUAAAAUUUGUGCCAGCAAUUGCGGUUAUACAAAUAAUUCAAUUAAAAUUUAUUGGUUAAUAAUUAAUUUUUUUAAAUAAAAUUAUUAUUAAAAUUUUUAAGUGAAAUUUAAAUUUUAAUAUAUUUUUGUUUUUAUUAUAUGAAGUUAUUAAAAUUAGCAUUAAACUAGGAUUAGAUACCCUAUUAUUUUAAUCAUAAAUUUAAAUACUUGAUUAGUAUUAGUUAUUUUCUUAAAAAUUAAAAAAUUUGGCGGUAUUUUAGUCUAUUCAGAGGAACCUGUUCUAUAAUUGAUAAUCCACGAUUAGUUUUACUUUUCUUUUAUACUUGUAUAUCGUUGUUUUUGAAUAUUUUAUAAGAAUUAGAAUUUUCAAUAAGUAUAUUUUAGUUUAUUUCAGAUCAAGGUGCAGUUUAUAGGUAAGAAGAAAUGGGUUACAUUAAAUUUAUUUUUGGUUUUUUAUUUUAAAGAAUUUUAUUAAAUUGGAUUUGAUAGUAAUAAUAUAUAUAUAUAUAUUAUGAUUUUAGCUCUAAAAUGUGUACAUAUUGCCCGUCACUCUCAUUAAUUUGAGAUAAGUCGUAACAAAGUAGAUUUACUGGAAAGUGUAUCUAGGAAUAA
This 746-nucleotide non-coding RNA is filed under the name Aquatica wuhana. Lineage: Eukaryota; Metazoa; Arthropoda; Insecta; Coleoptera; Lampyridae. The record is from RNAcentral.